GUCUACAGCCAUACCACCCUGAACGUGCCUGAUCUCGUCUGAUCUCGGAAGCAGGGUCGGGCCUGGUUAGUACUUGGAUGGGAGAAAUGAGGAGGUGUUGAUC
RNAcentral lists this ribosomal RNA (103 nucleotides) under Felis catus (domestic cat). The record is from RNAcentral. Lineage: Eukaryota; Metazoa; Chordata; Mammalia; Carnivora; Felidae.